CCUACGGGGGGCAGCAGUGAGGAAUAUUGGUCAAUGGGCGCGAGCCUGAACCAGCCAAGUAGCGUGAAGGAUGACUGCCCUACGGGUUGUAAACUUCUUUUAUAAAGGAAUAAAGUGAUGCACGUGUGCCUUUUUGUAUGUACUUUAUGAAUAAGGAUCGGCUAACUCCGUGCCAGCAGCCGCGGUAAUACGGAGGAUCCGAGCGUUAUCCGGAUUUAUUGGGUUUAAAGGGAGCGUAGAUGGGUUGUUAAGUCAGUUGUGAAAGUUUGCGGCUCAACCGUAAAAUUGCAAUUGAUACUGGCAGUCUUGAGUAUGUUUGAGGUAGGCGGAAUGCGUGGUGUAGCGGUGAAAUGCUUAGAUAUCACGAAGAACUCCGAUUGCGAAGGCAGCUUACUAAGCUGCAACUGACACUGAUGCUCGAAAGUGUGGGGAUCAAACAGGAUUAGAUACCCCUGCAGUC
This 460-nucleotide ribosomal RNA is filed under the name uncultured bacterium. RNAcentral describes it as "partial 16S ribosomal RNA". It matches the Rfam family "Bacterial small subunit ribosomal RNA", at positions 338 to 795 of the family's 1533-position model. The record is from RNAcentral.